CGAAUCUCAAGCUAACAGUAACCAAAACAUAAUGCAAAAGUAACCAAACAGUUAUAUGAUAGUAUCUAUUUUUUAUUGCUUGACGUAGCUACAACGUAAGCAUUACAUCAAGCUCCCAGAAAUUAGUCUAGUAUACUAAACAACAUGUAGUCCAAACUCAAUUUAGUCAAUCAAUGUAUACUAAGCAAAUACAUUGUAACCAAAACAACAUAUAAAAGUAACCAAAA
RNAcentral lists this long non-coding RNA (227 nucleotides) under Panax ginseng (ginseng). Its description in RNAcentral is "long non-coding RNA (PGIN_LNC013885)". Lineage: Eukaryota; Viridiplantae; Streptophyta; Magnoliopsida; Apiales; Araliaceae. The record is from RNAcentral.